This 70-nucleotide transfer RNA is filed under the name Neodontobutis hainanensis. RNAcentral describes it as "tRNA-Gly". It matches the Rfam family "tRNA". From Rfam's summary of the family: Transfer RNA (tRNA) molecules are approximately 80 nucleotides in length. Their secondary structure includes four short double-helical elements and three loops (D, anti-codon, and T loops). Further hydrogen bonds mediate the characteristic L-shaped molecular structure. tRNAs have two regions of fundamental functional importance: the anti-codon, which is responsible for specific mRNA codon recognition, and the 3' end, to which the tRNAs corresponding amino acid is attached (by aminoacyl-tRNA synthetases). tRNAs cope with the degeneracy of the genetic code in two manners: having more than one tRNA (with a specific anti-codon) for a particular amino acid; and 'wobble' base-pairing, i.e. permitting non-standard base-pairing at the 3rd anti-codon position. Lineage: Eukaryota; Metazoa; Chordata; Actinopteri; Gobiiformes; Odontobutidae. The record is from RNAcentral.
AUCUUCCUAGUAUAAAAUAGUAUAGGUGACUUCCAAUCACUCAGUCUUGGUUUAAAUCCAAGGAAAGAUA